AGUUCGGAUCGCAGGCUGCAACCCGCCUGCGUGAAGUUGGAAUUGCUAGUAAUCGCGGAUCAGCAUGCCGCGGUGAAUACGUUCCCGGGCCUUGUACACACCGCCCGUCACACCAUGGGAGCCGGUAAUACCCGAAGUCAGUAGUCUAACCGCAAGGGGGGCGCUGCCGAAGGUAGGAUUGGCGACUGGGGUGAAGUCGUAACAAGGUACC
Molecule: ribosomal RNA, 211 nt
Filed under: uncultured bacterium
Lineage: Bacteria
Description: partial 16S ribosomal RNA
Rfam family: Bacterial small subunit ribosomal RNA
Source: RNAcentral